Molecule: ribosomal RNA, 442 nt
Filed under: uncultured bacterium
Lineage: Bacteria
Description: bacterial SSU rRNA
Rfam family: Bacterial small subunit ribosomal RNA
Source: RNAcentral
CCUACGGGUGGCACCAGUGGGGAAUUCUCCGCAAUGGGCGAAAGCCUGGCGGAGCAAUGCCGCGUGGAGAUAGAAGGCCCACGGGUCGUGAACUUCUUUUCCCGGAGAAGAAGCAAUGACGGUAUCUGGGGAAUAAGCAUCGGCUAACUCAGUGCCAGCAGCCGCGGUAAUACAGAGGAUGCAAGCGUUAUCCGGAAUGAUUGGGCGUAAAGCGUCUGUAGGUGGCUUUUUAAGUCCGCCGUCAAAUCCCAGGGCUCAACCCUGGACAGGCGGUGGAAACUACCAAGCUGGAGUACGGUAGGGGCAGAGGGAAUUUCCGGUGGAGCGGUGAGAUGCGUAGAGAUCGGAAGGAACACCAACGGCGAAAGCACUCUGCUGGGCCGACACUGACACUGAGAGACGAAAGCUAGGGGAGCGAAUGGGAUUAGAUACCCUCGUAGUC